RNAcentral lists this ribosomal RNA (482 nucleotides) under uncultured bacterium. Its description in RNAcentral is "partial 16S ribosomal RNA". It matches the Rfam family "Bacterial small subunit ribosomal RNA", at positions 30 to 505 of the family's 1533-position model. The record is from RNAcentral.
AUUGAACGCUGGCGGCAGGCCUAACACAUGCAAGUCGAGCGGAUGAAGGGAGCUUGCUCCUGGAUUCAGCGGCGGACGGGUGAGUAAUGCCUAGGAAUCUGCCUGGUAGUGGGGGAUAACGUCCGGAAACGGGCGCUAAUACCGCAUACGUCCUGAGGGAGAAAGUGGGGGAUCUUCGGACCUCACGCUAUCAGAUGAGCCUAGGUCGGAUUAGCUAGUUGGUGGGGUAAAGGCCUACCAAGGCGACGAUCCGUAACUGGUCUGAGAGGAUGAUCAGUCACACUGGAACUGAGACACGGUCCAGACUCCUACGGGAGGCAGCAGUGGGGAAUAUUGGACAAUGGGCGAAAGCCUGAUCCAGCCAUGCCGCGUGUGUGAAGAAGGUCUUCGGAUUGUAAAGCACUUUAAGCUGGGAGGAAGGGCAGUAAGUUAAUACCUUGCUGUUUUGACGUUACCAACAGAAUAAGCACCGGCUAACUUCG